Molecule: ribosomal RNA, 525 nt
Filed under: Pomegranate decline phytoplasma
Lineage: Bacteria; Bacillati; Mycoplasmatota; Mollicutes; Acholeplasmatales; Acholeplasmataceae
Description: partial 16S ribosomal RNA
Source: RNAcentral
CUUUGUAACAACCAUUGUAUCACGUUUGUAGCCCAGAUCAUAAGGGGCAUGAUGAUUUGACGUAAUCCCCACCUUCCUCCAAUUUUUCAUUGGCAGUCUCGUUAAAGUCCCCAUCAUUACAUGCUGGCAACUAACGACAAGGGUUGCGCUCGUUUUAGGACUUAACCUAACAUCUCACGACACGAGCUGACGACAACCAUGCACCACCUGUUUUCCUGAUGACCUCCAUUAUAUUUCUAUAACUUCGCAAGAAAAUGUCAAGACCUGGUAAGGUUUUUCGUGUAUCUUCGAAUUAAACAACAUGAUCCACCGCUUGUGCGGAGUCCCGUCAAUUCCUUUAAGUUUCAUACUUGCGUACGUACUACUCAGGCGGAGUACUUAAUGUGUUAACUUCAGUACCAGUUUUACCCGACACUUAGUACUCAUCGUUUACGGCGUGGACUACCAGGGUAUCUAAUCCUGUUUGCUCCCCACGCUUUCGUGCCUCAGCGCGGUUAAAAGACAAAAAAAAAAAAAAAACCGCCG